Aedes albopictus (Asian tiger mosquito) is the source of this 73-nucleotide non-coding RNA. The record is from Rfam. NCBI's taxonomy places the organism in Eukaryota, Metazoa, Arthropoda, Insecta, Diptera, Culicidae.
AGUUCUGUGGCUUAGUUGUUUGAAGUGCCGGACUAGCGAUACGGAGUCGCGGGUUCGAAUCCCACCAAAACUA